Molecule: ribosomal RNA, 114 nt
Filed under: Acanthosepion pharaonis
Lineage: Eukaryota; Metazoa; Mollusca; Cephalopoda; Sepiida; Sepiidae
Source: RNAcentral
UUACGGUCAAAUCACGCUGAAACACCGGUUCUCGUUCGAUCACCGAAGUUAAGCAUCGUAGAGCCAGGUCAGUACUUAGAUGGGGGACCGCUUGGGAACACCUAGUACUGUAAG